Long non-coding RNA from Vespa mandarinia (Asian giant hornet), 837 nucleotides. The record is from RefSeq and is a predicted model, not a curated record. Lineage: Eukaryota; Metazoa; Arthropoda; Insecta; Hymenoptera; Vespidae.
GGCGGAGACCUCCACGGCAUCAGUUGCAGCGCUGUUAUUUUUAAAUAUUUUUAACAAUUUUUGUAUUAGAGAUUGUUUAAACUAUAAACUGUCAUGUGACCUAAAAUAAAAAAUGUUUAUUUGAUAGUUCUGAGUUUAAAGAUUUUUAAAUAUAAGCCCAUUUUUCGACCUCAGGGUGGUCAGACAUCCAAAUGGGUUUUAAUAUAACUUUCUAGAGUAAUAUUUUGCUUUCUAAGCUUAAAUUCAAACGUCUAAGCCAGUAGAAUUUUUAACUUCUGUUGCUUACACUUUGGUUUAAUAUGCUACUUAUAUGUUCUGUCAAGUAUCAUGUUCAGGUAUUUGACUAUAUUAUUUGUUGGAAUUAUCUUGGAUGAUUUUAUAUACUAUUCUAUAGGUUCGUUCUAUUAUUGAAUGUUGCUUCCGAAAACCAAAUUGAUGAUUUUACUUUAUUUUUUAAUCUUCCAAAAAGGGAUGAAGUCUUUUAAUUAACAUCUUCUCUAAGAAUUUGAAUAUAUUUGACAAAAGAUUAAUUGAGCGAUAUAAAUUUGCUUCGUUAAUUGGUUUCUCUAAUUUAUGGAUGAAAGUAAUGAGUAACAAUUUUCAAAACUUUGCAUAAUAUUUCUUCUGGAAAGAAAUAUUUUGAAAACAGAUGUGCAAUUUCAAAAGGGAAGUCGCUAUCGGCCCAUAUGCGGACUCACUUUAUUUUGAAGACUUGGAAAACUCAAGGACCAGCAAAAGAAUCUUAGUAAAUACCUAUUGUUCUAAUGCGUACUAGACUUUCCUAAAAUAAAGAAAUAUUCAAACAAAAGGUUCUACAUAUUUCAUUCAUACACGACA